Molecule: long non-coding RNA, 626 nt
Organism: Hemicordylus capensis (graceful crag lizard)
Lineage: Eukaryota; Metazoa; Chordata; Lepidosauria; Squamata; Cordylidae
Exons: 4
Source: RefSeq, a predicted model, not a curated record
UGCGCAACAAGGUGUCUACUCUCAACCUUUAACAGAUGCACAGAAGACGACUAUAGACAGACCACACUGUGAGGUCAGGUUGCUCCAAGGACAAGCAUCGUAGAAACUGGAAAUCGAUGAGCAGACAAGGCAGAAUUAUGCAUUCAUGUAAUGCCAGAGAAGUGGAAAUAUGAAGCGUUGCCUCUCUCAGGCUACAUUGCAUACAAUUGCUUGGGAAUCCGAAAGGGAGAAGUGGACUUGGCUUACUAUUCCAGGGUAAAGCCAAGGGAUAGACCAAAGCUCCAAGUAAAAUGUACUCUGCAACAGUCGCUCAGACUGACGUAAGGGUAGAACGUGCUCAUCACUAAUUACUGGGGUUCAGGUUUCCCGUCAAAAAGUCUUAAAGUUAAAGCUUUAGAAGAUUCUGAAAUGAGGUUCUUUGCCAGCACACCCAUGAGUGUGAAUAUCACAAGAACCAUGCAGAAGAACUGAAUGUUUAGUUUUGGAAUGAAAAACAGAAUUAUAAUACUCAGCCAUCUUCAUUCUUUUCUUUAAUAAUAAAUAUUAAUACUUUAUUGUAUCUGUUUUCAGUGUUUUGCUCUUGAACAUGUAAAUGCAAAAAUGCUAAUAAAGUAUUUAAAACCCCA